RNAcentral lists this ribosomal RNA (502 nucleotides) under uncultured bacterium. RNAcentral describes it as "bacterial SSU rRNA". It matches the Rfam family "Bacterial small subunit ribosomal RNA", at positions 28 to 518 of the family's 1533-position model. The record is from RNAcentral.
GACGAACGCUGGCGGCGUGGAUUAGGCAUGCAAGUCGGACGGUAGGGCUUUAUCGUAAGAUAGAGUUUGAGAGUGGCGAACGGGUGAGUAACACGUAGGAAUCUACCCUUAAGACGGGGACAACCCAGGGAAACUUGGGCUAAUACCGGAUGAGAGUGCGAGAGAUUGCAUUUAAAAGGAUGGCGAAAGUUGUCGCUUAGGGAUGAGCCUACGGUCUAUUAGUUAGUUGGUGAGGUAAGAGCUCACCAAGGCGAUGAUAGAUAGGCGGCCUUAACGGGUGGUCGCCCACACUGGGAUUGAGAUACGGCCCAGACUCCUACGGGAGGCAGCAGUCGAGAAUAGUCUACAAUGGCCGGAAGGCUGAUAGUGCGACGCCGCGUGAACGAGGGAGCCCUUCGGGUGUAAGUCUUUUAUAUGUGAGCAGUGCUUCUUAUAUUAACAGUAUGGGGAGAGAGAUAUUAGCAUAUGAAUAAGCAACGGCUAACUCCGUGCCAGCAGCCGC